This 484-nucleotide ribosomal RNA is filed under the name uncultured bacterium. Its description in RNAcentral is "partial 16S ribosomal RNA". It matches the Rfam family "Bacterial small subunit ribosomal RNA", at positions 30 to 507 of the family's 1533-position model. The record is from RNAcentral.
AUUGAACGCUGGCGGCAGGCCUAACACAUGCAAGUCGAGCGGUAGAGAGAAGCUUGCUUCUCUUGAGAGCGGCGGACGGGUGAGUAAUGCCUAGGAAUCUGCCUGGUAGUGGGGGAUAACGUUCGGAAACGGACGCUAAUACCGCAUACGUCCUACGGGAGAAAGCAGGGGACCUUCGGGCCUUGCGCUAUCAGAUGAGCCUAGGUCGGAUUAGCUAGUUGGUGGGGUAAUGGCUCACCAAGGCGACGAUCCGUAACUGGUCUGAGAGGAUGAUCAGUCACACUGGAACUGAGACACGGUCCAGACUCCUACGGGAGGCAGCAGUGGGGAAUAUUGGACAAUGGGCGAAAGCCUGAUCCAGCCAUGCCGCGUGUGUGAAGAAGGUCUUCGGAUUGUAAAGCACUUUAAGUUGGGAGGAAGGGCAGUAAAUUAAUACUUUGCCGUUUUGACGUUACCGACAGAAUAAGCACCGGCUAACUCUGUG